AAAGUCGUAACAAGGUUUCCGUAGGUGAACCUGCGGAAGGAUCAUUAUUGAAUUAUGUUUUCUAGAUGGGUUGUAGCUGGCUCUUCGGAGUAUGUGCACGCCUGUCUGGACUUCAUUUUCAUCCACCUGUGCACCUUUUGUAGUCUUUUUCAGGUAUUGGAGGAAGUGGUCAGCCUAUCAGCUCUUUGCUGGAUGUAAGGACUUGCAGUGUGAAAACAGUGCUGUCCUUUACCUUGGCCAUGGAAUCUUUUUCCUGUUAGAGUCUAUGUUAUUCAUUAUACUCUUAGAAUGUCAUUGAAUGUCUUUACAUGGGCUAUGCCUAUGAAAAUUAUUAUACAACUUUCAGCAACGGAUCUCUUGGCUCUCGCAUCGAUGAAGAACGCAGCGAAAUGCGAUAAGUAAUGUGAAUUGCAGAAUUCAGUGAAUCAUCGAAUCUUUGAACGCAUCUUGCGCUCCUUGGUAUUCCGAGGAGCAUGCCUGUUUGAGUGUCAUUAUAUUCUCAACUCUCCAAUACUUUGUUGUAAAGGAGAGCUUGGAUUGUGGAGGUUUGCUGGCCCCUUAAUUGGGGUCAGCUCCUCUGAAAUGCAUUAGCGGAACCGUCUGCGAUCUGCCACAAGUGUGAUAACUUAUCUACACUGGCGAGGGGAUUGCUUUCUGAUGUUCAGCUUCUAAUCGUCUAAGGACAAUUUCUUGAAUGCUUGACCUCAAAUCAGGUAGGACUACCCGCUGAACUUAAGCAUAUCAAUAA
This 748-nucleotide unclassified non-coding RNA is filed under the name Agaricus bisporus (cultivated mushroom). RNAcentral's name for it is "sequence contains ITS1, 5.8S rRNA gene and ITS2". The stretch from base 338 to 491 matches the Rfam family "5.8S ribosomal RNA". The record is from RNAcentral. Lineage: Eukaryota; Fungi; Basidiomycota; Agaricomycetes; Agaricales; Agaricaceae.